ACAUGCAGCCGAGCGGUAGAGAUUCUUCGGAAUCUUGAGAGCGGCGUACGGGUGCGGAACACGUGUGCAACCUGCCUUUAUCAGGGGGAUAGCCUUUCGAAAGGAAGAUUAAUACCCCAUAAUAUAUUGAAUGGCAUCAUUUAAUAUUGAAAACUCCGGUGGAUAGAGAUGGGCACGCGCAAGAUUAGAUAGUUGGUGAGGUAACGGCUCACCAAGUCUACGAUCUUUAGGGGGCCUGAGAGGGUGAUCCCCCACACUGGUACUGAGACACGGACCAGACUCCUACGGGAGGCAGCAGUGAGGAAUAUUGGACAAUGGGUGCGAGCCUGAUCCAGCCAUCCCGCGUGAAGGACGACGGCCCUAUGGGUUGUAAACUUCUUUUGUAUAGGGAUAAACCUAGAUACGUGUAUCUAGCUGAAGGUACUAUACGAAUAAGCACCGGCUAACUCCGUGCCAGCAGCCGCGGUAAUACGGAGGGUGCAAGCGUUAUCCGGAUUUAUUGGGUUUAAAGGGUCCGUAGGCGGAUUUGUAAGUCAGUGGUGAAAUCUCACAGCUUAACUGUGAAACUGCCAUUGAUACU
This 580-nucleotide ribosomal RNA is filed under the name bacterium amp-w-44. RNAcentral's name for it is "bacterial SSU rRNA". It matches the Rfam family "Bacterial small subunit ribosomal RNA", at positions 53 to 634 of the family's 1533-position model. The record is from RNAcentral.